Molecule: ribosomal RNA, 301 nt
Filed under: uncultured bacterium
Lineage: Bacteria
Description: partial 16S ribosomal RNA
Rfam family: Bacterial small subunit ribosomal RNA
Source: RNAcentral
CAGCAGCCACGGUAAUACGUAGGUGGCAAGCGUUGUUCGGAUUUACUGGGCGUAAAGGGCGCGUAGGCGGACUGAUAAGUCAGGGGUGAAAUCCCAAGGCUCAACCUUGGAACUGCCUUUGAUACUGUUUGUCUUGAGUUCGAGAGAGGUAAGUGGAACUGCGAGUGUAGAGGUGAAAUUCGUAGAUAUUCGCAAGAACACCAGUGGCGAAGGCGGCUUACUGGCUCGAAACUGACGCUGAGGCGCGAAAGCGUGGGGAGCAAACAGGAUUAGAUACCCGAGUAGUCCCUGUCUCUUAUAC